This 3506-nucleotide long non-coding RNA is filed under the name Marmota monax (woodchuck). The record is from RNAcentral. Lineage: Eukaryota; Metazoa; Chordata; Mammalia; Rodentia; Sciuridae.
UUACAGCCGGGCCCAGGGGCCAGCGAGGUCACUGGGACAUGCUGACAGUUGACAACUGUUCUGGACACAAGGGGCUGGAGGGAAUCUGAUCCAGGCUGGGAGAGAGGAGGAAGGAAACCACAGCAGGGCUGGGCAGGCCCUGUCCGCUAGCCAAGGGCUACCUGCAAGGUUUUUCUUUUCUUUUAAUUUUAAUUAACUACUACUAUUUUCUAAAAUUCAUUUUGCAGGUGCUGACCAUGGAACCCAGGGCCUGGCGCAUGCGUGAUGGAUCUGGUCCGGCUGAGCUGCCUCCCCCAGCCCCUUGAACUUGGGUAUGUUUUUGUCUACGCCUGGGCUGCAGGUUGGGCGUGAUCCAGGCACGUUCCUUCCCAGCCAGUGCUGGACUUGAUACGGAGCAGGACCUGUCAGGGGCUGACCGAGAAUGGCAUCACUCUGGUUUAUUGAAUAUUAAGACCUAUUAAACCUGGCUUAAAAAUCUCAGUACGGGUGCACGCCUGUCAUUCUAGCGGCUCAGGAGGCUGAGGCAGGAGGAUCGCAAGGUGGAGGCCAGCCUCAGCAACUUAGUGAGGCCCUAAGCAACUCAGCGAGACCCUGUCUCUAAAUAAAAUACAAAAUAGGGCUGGGUACGGGGCUCAGGGGUUCAGUGCCCCUGAGUUCAAUCCCCUAACACCCCCCAAAGAAAAUACAAUUCCCAAUUUUAUAGAUGGAGACAUGUAUAGACAUUUUUUUUUACCUUUUUUUGGAGGAAUAUAUAGUAUUUUUUUAAAGUUGGGAAAUAGGUUCAGCCUUUUUUUUUUUAAUGCAGGGGAUCAAAACCAGGGAUAUUUUACCACUGAGCCACAUUCCCAGUCCCUUUCUUAUUUUAUUUUAUUUUUUUAAUUCAAUGAUUUACUUAUUUUGUUACACAUGACGGCUGAAUGCAAUUCAUUUCCUAUUACACAUAUAGAUCACAAUCUUAUUUUAUUUUAUUCACCUUUUUAUUAUGGGACAGGGUCUCCCUACAUUGGUAAUUCUUAUUUUUUUUAUUUAGAGACAGGGUCUUGCUGAGUUGCUUAGAGACUUGUUAAAUUACAGAGGCUGGCCUCCAACUUGCCAUCCUCCUGCCUCAGCCUCCCAGAUUGCUGGAAUUACAGGUGUGUGCCACCGCACCUAGCAGGAUAAGCUUAUUUUGAAAUACUCUAUUAGCCGGGCACAGUGGUGCCCACCUGUCAUCCCCACAGCUCCAGAGGCUGAGGCUGGAGGAUCACAAGUUGGAGGCCAGCCUCCUCAAUUUAUCAAGGCCGUAAGCCAUUUAGUGUCCUGUCUCAAAAAUAAAUAGAUAAAAUAAAAAGGGCUGGGGAUGGGGCUCAGUGGUCAAGGGCCCCUGGGUUCAAUCCCUGGCACCAAAAAAAUUAAAAAAUAAAGCAAAUUUGUAAAGCAGAGUUCUGUGUUACCAGCCUCAUCUGCCAAAUCUCUGGCUGCCAUCGCAAAAAUAAAAAAUAAAAUAUAAAUCAAGAAAAAAAAUAAAUAAAAAAAGAGAAAGAGGCCACGUCAAGUGAUUGACAGAGGCUCUCAGUGGGAUCUAAGCAUCAACCCAUUUCUCAGAAUGUGACCCCAUUGUUUUUUUUUUUUUUUUUUUUUUUGAAGUUUUUUAGAACUUUUAUUUUAUGUACAAAGAGUGAGCAUGUUCUCCUUCACUGGAUGGCUGUCUUGGGUAAUCCAUUCAAGGAAGAUCACUUAGUCCAACUUAAUGAAGCCUAUAUCCUUCGCGUACUGACGGAAACACUGCCGGCACAUGUUGAGGCCGUAUUUCCGGAUCAGACCGUGCCGGUUUGAACACACGCGGCAAGAGCGAGAACCCUGGCCAAAUUUUCGCGGAUGGCUCCAAUAGAGCUGUUGAUGACCCAUCUUGCUUUCAAGGGUGCAACGAGGCAAAAGGCUUGACCCCAUUGUUGAUUGACGCCUGGCUCUGAUUGAUAGCAGGGGGGGGGUUGGGGGGGGAGGUUUUACGGGCAGGUCUGGACAGGAGCAAAUGGGGUGCAGGCUGCUCCCAAAAUCUGUCCGUAGGGGUCUGUUGGAGAGAGAGGGCCAGGGUGGGGUCAAGUGACCACAGGAAAUGGGCCAUUGGCCAUCACUGGGAAUCCUGGGUUUUUGUUAGUUUUUUGGUCCCAGGGAUUGAACCAGGGUGGGGCUCAACCCCUGAGCCCCAUCCCCAGCCCUUUUUAUAUUUUAUUCAGAGACAGGGUCUCACUGUAUUGCUUAGAGCCUUAGUAAAUUUUGAGGCUGGCCUCCAACCUGCGAUCCUCCUGCCUCAGCCUCCCAAGCUGCUGGGGUCACAGGUGUGCGCCACCUCGCCAGGCUGCAGAACAUUUUCUCUUUUGUUUCUUUGUUUUAUUGUUGUUGUUGUUUUGUUUUUCACUUAUAGGUCUCCUCACUUUCUCUAACAAUAAUGAGUAGCAUUUAUUGAGCACCUACUGCAUGCUAGAUCCUGUUGUAAGCGUGUUCCAUCUUAUUAGCUCACUUAGUCUUUGUGUCCCCAACUCCGGGGGAUAAGUCCCACUUUAUGCCAAUCCUGCAGCUAAGGAAACUGGCUUAAAGCUCAUGCUUUGGCUAAACUGGGGGCAUAAAGAGGGUAGAGAUCUUGCCUGUGCUGUUUGUGGCUGAUCCCCUGAAGCCCACACAGUAUGGUCCCCAAGAGGAAUCGGAUGUCUAAUUGCCAAAGAGAUCAAGAAGAAUGUAGAUGAAUUGGAUGUGGGCAAUAAGGGGAAAGAAAAUGUCCACCGUCACUCCUCCCAGCGGCCCUGGAGGCUGAGGCAGGAGGAUUGCAAGUUGGAGGCCGGCCUCGGCGACUUAGCCAGGCUGGAAGCAACCGAGUGAGACCCUGUCUCAAAAUUUCAACAAAUAAAGUAAAAUGGGGUAGGGAGGUGGCUCAGGGGUCCAGCACUCCUGGAUUUAAUCCCUGGUACCAAAAAAAUGAAUGAAUAAAAAAUAAAAAAGUUCAAUCAUUUGAAAAGGGCUGAGGACGUAGCUCCUGGGGUGCUCAGCACGCGGGGGAGAAAAUCAGUGAUGAAGGUCUCUGCAAACCGGGUGGGGUCAUUAAAAGAGGGGAACUGGCUUUGACAGAUUGGGGACAGGGUGACUCAUCUGCUUGGGGACACGCGGUGUCAAGAAGCCAGUCACUGUGUCGGUUUGGAGCACAGGUUUGGGUGGUGCGUCUUGGCUUCUUGGGUCUUGAUUUAGGCACCGGUGGUAAAUUGAGUGUAAUUGUAAUCACCCAGGGAGGGACCUUGAGGGAGGACACCCAAGGCGGAGCCAGAAGCCAUGUCAGUUGCUAAUGGGCAGCCAGAGGAAAGGACACUGUCAGAAACAGCACCCUGAGAAAGGUAAGGUGACACAGACCUGUCUUCCCAGCGGCUCAGGAGGCUGAGGCAGGAGGAUCGCAAGGUGGAGGCCAGCCUCAGCAACUUUGUGAGGCCCUAAGCAAUUCAGCGAGACCCUGUCUCUGAAUAAAAUAGCAAAAGGGGCUG